AACUUUUAAUUUUUGUCUAGGGUAGUCUCUUCAUAUCCUCCCACUUCUUUAAUUUCAAAAUCUCUUCCUCUUUUCAAAACCUUCUUUGUUUGUGUUUUUCAGCUUAGACAUGUUUUAAUGAUUAGAAGCUUUUGCCUUAUGCCAUUGAAUUUUCAAACAUUUUUCUUAAAUCAAACUUGUAAAUGAACUUAACCAUACUGACUUUAAUUUCAAAAGACAAAAAAG
Molecule: long non-coding RNA, 225 nt
Filed under: Lathyrus oleraceus (garden pea)
Lineage: Eukaryota; Viridiplantae; Streptophyta; Magnoliopsida; Fabales; Fabaceae
Description: Pisum sativum (pea) long non-coding RNA (PSAT_LNC035534)
Source: RNAcentral